GCCAGACUCCUACGGGAGGCAGCAGUGGGGAAUAUUGGGCAAUGGGCGCAAGUCUGACCCAGCAACGCCGCGUGAAGGAAGAAGGCUUUCGGGUUGUAAACUUCUUUUAUUGAGGACGAAACAAAUGACGGUACUCAAUGAAUAAGCCACGGCUAACUACGUGCCAGCAGCCGCGGUAAUACGUAGGUGGCAAGCGUUAUCCGGAUUUACUGGGUGUAAAGGGCGUGUAGGCGGGACUGCAAGUCAGAUGUGAAACCCAUGGGCUCAACCCAUGGCCUGCAUUUGAAACUGUUUUUCUUGAGUACUGGAGAGGCAGACGGAAUUCCUAGUGUAGCGGUGAAAUGCGUAGAUAUUAGGAGGAACACCAGUGGCGAAGGCGGUCUGCUGGACAGCAACUGACGCUGAGGCGCGAAAGCGUGGGGAGCAAACAGGAUUAGAUACCCGCGUAA
RNAcentral lists this ribosomal RNA (449 nucleotides) under uncultured bacterium. RNAcentral's name for it is "bacterial SSU rRNA". It matches the Rfam family "Bacterial small subunit ribosomal RNA", at positions 330 to 793 of the family's 1533-position model. The record is from RNAcentral.